Pelobates cultripes (western spadefoot toad) is the source of this 237-nucleotide non-coding RNA. NCBI's taxonomy places the organism in Eukaryota, Metazoa, Chordata, Amphibia, Anura, Pelobatidae. The record is from the annotation of a GenBank genome assembly.
AUAAGCUUUCCUGAAGAGAUGGGUUUUAAGGCCCUUCUUAAAUGAUUGAAGACUAGGGGAGAGUCUGAUGGCAGCAGGCAAGCUAUUCCAUAGGAGAGGAGCCGCCCGCGAGAAGUCCUGCAAGCGCGAGUUGGCCGUACGGGUGCGAGCAGCGGUCAGGAGGUGGUCACGGGCAGAGCGGAGGGUACGUGGAGGGGCAUAUUUAUGGAUCAGUGAAGAGAUAUAAGCGGGGCUAGA